UACGUAGAUGGCAAGCGUUGUCCGGAUUUAUUGGGCGUAAAGCGAGCGCAGGCGGUUCUUUAAGUCUGAUGUGAAAGCCCCUGGCUCAACCAGGGAGGGUCAUUGGAAACUGGAGAACUUGAGUGCAGAAGAGGAAAGUGGAAUUCCAUGUGUAGCGGUGAAAUGCGUAGAUAUAUGGAGGAACACCAGUGGCGAAGGCGACUUUCUGGUCUGUAACUGACGCUGAGGCUCGAAAGCAUGGGGAGCAAACAGGAUUAGAAACCCCAGUAGUCC
Molecule: ribosomal RNA, 273 nt
Filed under: uncultured bacterium
Lineage: Bacteria
Description: partial 16S ribosomal RNA
Rfam family: Bacterial small subunit ribosomal RNA
Source: RNAcentral